RNAcentral lists this long non-coding RNA (699 nucleotides) under Homo sapiens (human). RNAcentral's name for it is "HSALNT0290735". The record is from RNAcentral. Lineage: Eukaryota; Metazoa; Chordata; Mammalia; Primates; Hominidae.
GGGUUUCAGUGGUUACCUGCUGAGGCGGCAUUGGGCAUGGAGCAUCCGAGGGUCCAAGCUUUCCCCUGAGAGGCCUCACACUUGAACUUAGAGGAAGAGUGAGUGGCCCUGGAGCUGGGCCUUCCAGUAGGAGCAGGGUUUCUGCAGGGAAGCAGAGAGAGGAGCCCGGGAGAAGGCACACGGGUUCUUCUCAGCCACCGUCAACAACCCCAGCUGCUACCAAGGUGCAAGAACACACAGGCUGCUGUGAAAGGACUGUAGGGGGCAAGGGCAGAGGAAGGGGCCAGCCAGGAGGCUUCCAAAAUAAUCCAGAUGAGGAAACUGCCGCUCAGAGACGGCAGCCGACCCAGCCAAGGCCGCACAGCCAGGAUUCAAAGCCAUACCGCUCAGCUCCUGCCUCCAGGCUCUGCCUUUGCAUGUGGCUUCUCCUGGCUCCUGGACCCUUCCCCGGCCCUCCCAGCUGGCUGUGCUGUGACAGUGGGCGGGGGAGUGCCAAGGCUCUGCCCUGCCCCCCGCCCUUGGCAUCUCCGGUCAAUAUGGCACUCACAGCUCCCUGGGCAUGGACCCCCUCCUGCCAUCCCCACUUAAAGUGAUACUUUAAUAAAUUAUGCUUUUAUGUUAUUACACGUGGAGCUAUAAAAGCAGAGAGUGUGCGGCCGGGCUGAGGUAAGGCGCCCGCGACUUUCCAAUUUCCUGGUC